AUUGAACGCUGGCGGCAUGCCUUACACAUGCAAGUCGAACGGUAACAGGUCUUCGGAUGCUGACGAGUGGCGAACGGGUGAGUAAUACAUCGGAACGUGCCUAGUAGUGGGGGAUAACUACUCGAAAGAGUGGCUAAUACCGCAUGAGAUCUACGGAUGAAAGCAGGGGAUCGCAAGACCUUGUGCUACUAGAGCGGCCGAUGGCAGAUUGGGUAGUUGGUGGGAUAAAAGCUUACCAAGCCGACGAUCUGUAGCUGGUCUGAGAGGACGAUCAGCCAGACGGGGACUGAGACACGGCCCAGACUCCUACGGGGGGCAGCAGUGGGGAAUUUUGGACAAUGGGCGAAAGCCUGAUCCAGCAAUGCCGCGUGCAGGAUGAAGGCCUUCGGGUUGUAAACUGCUUUUGUACGGAACGAAAAGCCCCGGGUUAAUACCCUGGGGUCAUGACGGUACCGUAAGAAUAAGCACCGGCUAACUACGUGCCAGCCGCCGCAGUAA
RNAcentral lists this ribosomal RNA (498 nucleotides) under uncultured bacterium. RNAcentral's name for it is "partial 16S ribosomal RNA". It matches the Rfam family "Bacterial small subunit ribosomal RNA", at positions 30 to 523 of the family's 1533-position model. The record is from RNAcentral.